CAAUAGCGUAUAUUAAAGUUGUUGCAGUUAAAAAGCUCGUAGUUGGAUUUCUGGUGGGAGCGAUCGGUCUGGCGCUUAGCGCGAGUACUUGCAUCGUCUCCGGCCAUCCUUGGGGAAAGUCUGUCUGGCAUUAAGUUGUCGGGCAGAGGAUCCUCAUCGUUUACUGUGAAAAAAUUAGAGUGUUCAAAGCAGGCUUAUGCCGUUGAAUAUAUUAGCAUGGAAUAAUAAGAUAGGACUUUGGUACUAUUUUGUUGGUUUGCGCACCAAAGUAAUGAUUAAUAGGGACAGUUGGGGGUAUUCGUAUUCCGUUGUCAGAGGUGAAAUUCUUGGAUUUACGGAAGACGAACCACUGCGAAAGCAUUUACCAAGGAUGUUUUCAUUAA
This 383-nucleotide ribosomal RNA is filed under the name uncultured eukaryote. RNAcentral's name for it is "partial 18S ribosomal RNA". It matches the Rfam family "Eukaryotic small subunit ribosomal RNA", at positions 592 to 976 of the family's 1831-position model. The record is from RNAcentral.